UCAGGACGAACGCUGGCGGCAUGCCUAACACAUGCAAGGUCGAACGGGGGUAGCAAUACCCUAGUGGCGAACGGGUGAGUAACACAUGAGCAAUCUGCCCUUCACAGGGGGAUAACAGCGGGAAACUGCUGCUAAUACCGCAUAAGACCACAGUACCGCAUGGUACAGGGGUAAAAACGAAUCAGUGGUGAAGGAUGAGCUUAUGUCCCAUUAGCUAGUUGGUGAGAUAACAGCCCACCAAGGCGACGAUGGGUAGCCGACCUGAGAGGGUGAUCGGCCACACUGGAACUGAGACACGGUCCAGACUCCUACGGGAGGCAGCAGUGGGGAAUAUUGGGCAAUGGAGGAAACUCCUUACCCAGCAAUGCCGCGUGAGUGAAGAAGGUCCUCGGAUUGUAAAGCUCUUUGAUUGGGGACGAAGAAAGUGACGGUACCCAAAGAACAAGCCCCGGCUAACCACGUGCCAGCAGCAGC
This 474-nucleotide ribosomal RNA is filed under the name uncultured bacterium. Its description in RNAcentral is "bacterial SSU rRNA". It matches the Rfam family "Bacterial small subunit ribosomal RNA", at positions 24 to 518 of the family's 1533-position model. The record is from RNAcentral.